Molecule: long non-coding RNA, 227 nt
Filed under: Brassica napus (rape)
Lineage: Eukaryota; Viridiplantae; Streptophyta; Magnoliopsida; Brassicales; Brassicaceae
Description: long non-coding RNA (BNAP_LNC021281)
Source: RNAcentral
GUUGGUAGAGGGGAAUGUCAGACAAGAUUUGCUAAGUUGUUGGUUAGGUGAAUUUGGUUGCUAAGCUAGGAUAUGGUAUAAUGUGCUUUGUGAUUAAGACUUCUUAGAUGUGGAUUGCAAAAUUGUAGAGGUAAUGAUUCUAAGUUUUAAAUCAUGUGAGUCCCUGCUGUUUUCAAACCUCUUUCAGAGAGAUGUGGGAACCGAAAUUCGCACUGUCGAUUUCCGUU